GGGCGCGUAGCUCAGCGGGAGAGCACUACGUUGACAUCGUAGGGGUCACUGGUUCAAUCCCAGUCGCGCCCACCA
Molecule: transfer RNA, 75 nt
Filed under: Inquilinus limosus
Lineage: Bacteria; Pseudomonadati; Pseudomonadota; Alphaproteobacteria; Rhodospirillales; Rhodospirillaceae
Also listed under: 37 other names
Description: tRNA-Val
Rfam family: tRNA
About the family: Transfer RNA (tRNA) molecules are approximately 80 nucleotides in length. Their secondary structure includes four short double-helical elements and three loops (D, anti-codon, and T loops).
Source: RNAcentral